Molecule: long non-coding RNA, 401 nt
Organism: Peromyscus eremicus (cactus mouse)
Lineage: Eukaryota; Metazoa; Chordata; Mammalia; Rodentia; Cricetidae
Exons: 2
Source: RefSeq, a predicted model, not a curated record
GGCAGACAGCAGCUUUGUGGCAGAGGUUGUUCUCAUGUUCGUAGACAGAAGUAGACAACAUGGCUGAACCUUCAAAGGCCUGUCCUAGUGGCCUUCUUCUACCAGGUCCCACACCAUAAAGGCUUAACAGCCUCAGCCUAGCUCCACAAGGGUCUGGGAGACGAUUCAACAGGCAUCUUUCCCAGUAAAUUUCCAUGUCACAACUCCACCACAACAAGAGCUAACACUGACACAUGUUGUACGCUUAGAACUUGCAUCUGUGCUAAUUCCACUACUGGAGAGACCUCACACUAAUGGAUUCCUGCAGUGCCCAGCUUGUUCUGCUGGGCAUAGUAUCAUCCUCACGUUUAUCUAUAUACUGUAUAUGUCAGAAUUUUCUUCUUUUAAAAACAGAAACAAUA